UACAGAGGGGGCAAGCGUUGUUCGGAAUUACUGGGCGUAAAGGGCGCGUAGGCGGCCUGUUAAGUCGAACGUGAAAUCCCCGGGCUCAACCCGGGAACUGCGUCCGAUACUGGCAGGCUUGAAUCCGGGAGAGGGAUGCGGAAUUCCAGGUGUAGCGGUGAAAUGCGUAGAUAUCAGGAGGAACACCGGUGGCGAAGGCGGUGGUCUGGGCCGGCACUGACGCUGAGGAGCGAAAGCGUGGGUAGCAAACAGG
RNAcentral lists this ribosomal RNA (253 nucleotides) under uncultured bacterium. RNAcentral describes it as "partial 16S ribosomal RNA". It matches the Rfam family "Bacterial small subunit ribosomal RNA", at positions 524 to 776 of the family's 1533-position model. The record is from RNAcentral.